This 301-nucleotide ribosomal RNA is filed under the name uncultured bacterium. RNAcentral's name for it is "partial 16S ribosomal RNA". It matches the Rfam family "Bacterial small subunit ribosomal RNA", at positions 509 to 807 of the family's 1533-position model. The record is from RNAcentral.
CAGUCGCCGCGGGAAUACGGAGGGGGCUAGCGUUGUUCGGAAUUACUGGGCGUAAAGCGUACGUAGGCGGCUUUGUAAGUUAGAGGUGAAAGCCUGGUGCUCAACACCAGAACUGCCUUUAAGACUGCAUCGCUUGAAUCCAGGAGAGGUGAGUGGAAUUCCGAGUGUAGAGGUGAAAUUCGUAGAUAUUCGGAAGAACACCAGUGGCGAAGGCGGCUCACUGGACUGGUAUUGACGCUGAGGUGCGAAAGCGUGGGGAGCAAACAGGAUUAGAUACCCCUGUAGUCCCUGUCUCUUAUAC